UAUUAGUUUAGUAUAAUAUAAAAGAAGUUGGUGGUUGUUAUUGAAAGGUAAAAGUGUGUUGUGGAUAGGUUUGUGUCCGUACUGUGCAGAGCAGGCCAAGGGAGGACAACACAGCACCAGACGUGACACAGAAAGGCACUGUGUUCAAAGGGUGCCAUAAACUGUGGCUUUAUUUAAUGUAUUUUGGCAGAACAAGACAGUGACAGGGCCGUGGGUGCCUGCGUGUGCUGGUGCAAGCUUGGUGCCUGCCUGGAGGUGCCUACAGGGAGGUGCCUACAGGGCCACCAAGGCUAAUAUUGAUACAAAUGUAGAGGGACGAAAUAGAGAAGCAGGAAGACCACCACCACCACCACCAGCAGUGUGGAAGAAAGCUGGUGAUAAAACUCUCUCUCGCUCUCCCUCACUCUCCCUCACUCUCCCACGCCACGGAAGCAGUGGAAUAAAGCACAGGAGGAGGAAGUGAGAGGAUAAUGAAGUUUGGAAGUUUGUGAUACGUAAGAAGAUAGUAAUUGACGAACACAACACACCACGUGGAGAGAAGCAAGGUGUGGAGUACCCAAGCCUCUCACAGUCCAUGCUAGUAGACUCACCCUGCAUGUGGAGAUCUCCCAAAAUGCACGGAGGUUAUUCCAGAGCUGCAGGACAGAGUACUUGAGGCCAUUGGUGAACAGAAAGCUGAGGUUGAACAAAGCCAAGAAUUGAUAGCUGCCCAAGGUGUAAGCAAGAUUCACAAUGAUGAGGUCAUUGUGACGUGUGCAAUGUGUCCACUGGUCUUGGCCUUCCUGACCAAGGCAGCCACACAAAGGAAAUUCCACGUUAUUGUUGCCGAACGUGCCCCUAAAUAUGAUGGUCACCCAGUGGCAAAAGCUUUAUGUACUGCUGGAAUUGAGACAACAUUAAUUCAAGACUCUGCAGUGUUCCCCAUCAUGUCACGUGUCAACAAGGUCAUCAAAGGUCAUCGUUGGCACCGAGACGGUGGUGACCAACGGAGGCAUUGAGAACUUUGUUGGUGCAGCCUCUCUUGCCUCACCACCAAAGUUUUAUUCUGUUUCACUGUAUGUGUGCACUCCCACAUACAAAUUUAGCUUGAUGGGCUGUGAAGAAAUAAGCCACCAAACCACCACUUCUGUUAUCCCAGAGGGAACAAAGUUUUGGCCGUCUGUAAAUACUGCACUGACUCAGCUAGAUUACGUUCCUCCAGAAAAUGUCACCAGUUUGAUAACUAACAAUCGAGGUACUGCACCAUCCUACGUGUACCGGCAGCUUAGCAAACUGUACCGUCCCACUUCUUGUGAUCUCUAAGGUCUCCGUGAACACUGAUGCUCUUCCUGUGCACGUAGUGAACUGCUGACACCAGGUUCCUCACGACGACCGAAGCCCGAGGCAAGCCUCUGUGAACCUCUCGUGUUUCCUGAUCCUCUGAAGCAGCCAGCUCUCCACCUCCAAGGAGCUCCAUCACAAUGUAGGUGUGUGCCUGUGAAACCAACAUGAAUUAGAUACAGGCAUACAAUGAUUAAAUGCAAGGAAAAGAAAAUAAUAUGAUCUUAAACUAAUUGUUACUUAAACUGUUACUGAUAAAUCCUGUUGUUUUAUAUUGUAAUUCUACACAGUAAAAAUAUAGAUUUGAAAA
This is a long non-coding RNA of Scylla paramamosain (green mud crab), 1630 nucleotides long. RefSeq lists it as uncharacterized. The transcript is spliced from 9 exons. The record is from RefSeq and is a predicted model, not a curated record. Lineage: Eukaryota; Metazoa; Arthropoda; Malacostraca; Decapoda; Portunidae.